UACGUAGGGUGCAAGCGUUAUCCGGAAUUACUGGGCGUAAAGAGUGCGUAGGCGGUUUUUUAAGUUAGAUGUUAAAUAUAUGGGCUCAACUCAUAUGCUGCAUCUAAUACUGGAAGACUUGAGAGUGGAAGAGGCAGAUGGAAUUCACAGUGGAGCGGUAGAAUGCGUAGAUAUUGUGAGGAACACCAAUGGCGAAGGCAGUCUGCUGGGCCACUUCUGACGCUGAGGCACGAAAGCGUGGGGAGCGAUCGGG
RNAcentral lists this ribosomal RNA (253 nucleotides) under uncultured bacterium. RNAcentral describes it as "partial 16S ribosomal RNA". It matches the Rfam family "Bacterial small subunit ribosomal RNA", at positions 524 to 776 of the family's 1533-position model. The record is from RNAcentral.